AUGAAGAAAAACAUACAACAGUUUGUACAAUCUUGUCUAAUUUGUCAGCAAGCAAAACCAGAAAGAGUAGCUUAUCCAGGACUGCUAUCUCCUCUUCCUGUCCCUGCUAGGGCUUGGGAAACUGUCACUAUGGAUUUCAUAUCAGGGUUGCCCUCCUCUGACCAAUAUGACUGCAUUAUGGUGGUUAUCGACAAGUUCACUAAAUAUGGGCAUUUCAUUCCUGUCAAGCAUCCAUAUACUGCCCAGAAGAUUUCUGAACUGUUUUUGGACAAUAUAUACAAACUCCAUGGCAUGCCUCGUUAUAUUGUGUCAGAUCGAGAUCAUGUGUUCACCAGCAACUUUUGGCAGGCCCUGGUGAGAAGAACAGGGGCUGUACUUAACAUGAGCACGGCAUAUCACCCAGAAAUAGAUGGACAGACAGAGCGUGUCAACCAGCAAGUGGAAUGUUUCCUGAGGUGUUUUAUCAGCGCUCACCCAAAGAAGUGGUUUAAAUGGCUUUCUCUUUGUGAAUUCUGGUACAAUACAAACUGGCAUUCAGCACUCGAAAAAUCACCCUUUGAGGUUCUUUAUGGCCAUGGUCCGAGGCACUUUGGCAUUUCAGCUUCGGAUGCAGUUGAUCCUGUUGAUCUGCAGUAG
This 636-nucleotide ribosomal RNA is filed under the name Triticum aestivum (bread wheat). RNAcentral's name for it is "partial small subunit ribosomal RNA". Lineage: Eukaryota; Viridiplantae; Streptophyta; Magnoliopsida; Poales; Poaceae. The record is from RNAcentral.